UUACCUAGAGUUGUAGGCUUUGCCUGCUAUCUCUUACCCAUGUCUUUUAAGUACCUUCGUUUCCUCGGCGGGUUCGCCCGCCGAUUGGACAAUUUAAACCAUUUGCAGUUGCAAUCAGCGUCUGAAAAAACUUAAUAGUUACAACUUUCAACAACGGAUCUCUUGGUUCUGGCAUCGAUGAAGAACGCAGCGAAAUGCGAUAAGUAGUGUGAAUUGCAGAAUUCAGUGAAUCAUCGAAUCUUUGAACGCACAUUGCGCCCCUUGGUAUUCCAUGGGGCAUGCCUGUUCGAGCGUCAUUUGUACCUUCAAGCUCUGCUUGGUGUUGGGUGUUUGUCUCGCCUCUGCGUGUAGACUCGCCUCAAAACAAUUGGCAGCCGGCGUAUUGAUUUCGGAGCGCAGUACAUCUCGCGCUUUGCACUCAUAACGACGACGUCCAAAAGUACAUUUUUACACUCUUGACCUCGGAUCAGGUAGG
Molecule: ribosomal RNA, 475 nt
Filed under: Didymella glomerata
Lineage: Eukaryota; Fungi; Ascomycota; Dothideomycetes; Pleosporales; Didymellaceae
Description: partial 18S ribosomal RNA
Rfam family: 5.8S ribosomal RNA (bases 143-296)
Source: RNAcentral